CUCCCCUCUCCACUGAGGGCUGAUUUCAUCACUCAACAAAAUUCUCCGAAUUCACCAUCCUUCAGUUCAUCCACAUGACCUCAUUCCUCUUGGGCACCGGACAAGAAUUUGGGAUGCACCAAAUGCAGGGGUACAAGCAAUUUUCCAGUCUUGACCCUUUAUCUGUUGACCAAGCUAAGGCAGAAACCAGCUAAAUUCUGGAUUUAAUCUUGAGCAGCAAAAAAGAUCAGCUUUUGAAGUGGAUCUGCUUUUAUUCUUGGCAAAAGUUCAGCGGAGACCAACCAGAGUGGUGACAAAGUUCUUCAACAUCAAGCCAAAUGUAAUACAAGGAAUUACGGAUAGUGCUUAAUCUAAAAUAAAGAAAUUCCACAUCUCCCUAAAAAGUUAUUGGCUUCAAGAAUGAAAACAAAAGAAGCAUAUUUGUCUCAAUCCAAACACAGACACCAGAAAGACAAACCAGGAGUAUACAGCAAAGUAGCUUGCAGGAUAAUACAUUGAAAAAUGUAAUUGUGCAUAAAUCAUGCACAAAGUAGAAACCACAAAUUCUGUAUUUGGCAAGGCUUCGGUUCCUUUGCAUAAUUCUUUCAUUUUCAUCUUGCUGCUUCCAUUCUCUUUUCAUCAAAAAAAGCUACAUAAAACAAAGACAUAAACUGUAUGCAAUUAAAAUGAGAAAAUAGCUGAAAGGAAUGUAUUGAUAAUUAUGUUAAAAUCUAUACCAUAAGUAUUCUUGCAUUGUUAAGCAUCUAAUUUUUCAUGUGUUGACAUCAGCAUCUCAGUUCUCUCUAACAUCUGAAAGCUUUUUUUUUUAAGGCAACUUCUUUUAGAGUGAACAAACUUAUGUACCACCGAGUUGACAAAAGUAUAACUAUAUCCUACAGAAAGAGACCUCAAGUAAACCUCCAGCAGCCAUCUGGACUUCCAUGAAAACAGAACAAUCAGUGAGAUGCAGAGCUUGGAGGAGACAGUUUCCAUAGACUGAAGCACGUGCUGAAGCAAAGUUCACACUUGCAGGAUUAGAAGAGGUUGACCGAAAGAAGGAAGGACAUGGACAGCUAUGUUGUUGUGGAGUCCUGUUUUAUAGUCAUAACCUUGAGUCAAGUGAGUUUGUCUGGACAGACAGAGCUUGUUGCCUUUACUUAUAGGGAAGGCACCGGACACAGACAGCCUCAAGGACAUUUGUUCUAGCCUUUCAGUAUCCUUUCUCUUAAUUAUCUCACCUCAUCCAUGAAGCUGGUAUGUACGAUUUUUCCUUUCUUUCUCAAUCCUUUAAAAAAUUAAAGCUCUAAAUCUCAUUUCCACUUAGAUUUUAAUGUUGCAUUGUAACUUAAGAUAAAACCUUGCUCUGAUGUUAAAAAUACUAAAGUAAGAAGCAAUAUGGCAUAGUGCUUAUGAGCAGGACUACAUAGUUCUUUCUGAAUACAAAUCUCAGAUAAAACACUAUCUCAGUGAUCAACCAGGUUAAGCAACCUUUUUAGUGCCUCAAUUAUUCCAUUUGUAAAAUUGUAAUAAUGAUAGUACUAACCUAUAAGAUUGUGGUGAGGAUUAAGUCAGAUAAUACAAAAGAAGCAUUUAGAGUAUUUCCUGGCAUUAUCUACCAUUUAUUGAAUUUUUAUGGUUAAGAAGAAUAAGGAAAAGCAGAAGAAAAGGAAAAGAGAAAAAAUACAUAAGAAGAAGGAAGAGUGGUAAGCUCUAGUAAAUUACAACAAACGGUAACGUAGAAAACAUUUGUUAGCCCUUAAUAUAGGCCAGGCACUGUGUUCAAUGCUUAAACCUCAUUACUGUUCUUUGAAGUGGAUAACAUUAUUCCUUCCAUUUUAAAGAAAGGAAUACUAAAGACAACUUUGUCAAUAUUAUUCAUGUAAUAAAUGACAGAAUUUGACCAAGACAAUAGAGAAUGAACUCUUAAUCACUAUAUUGUUUUAUUUUUUGAAAAUAGAUUUUAAGUUCUUAUUAAAUGUUAAUGACUCACAUCAAAAUAAAGCCAAUCAAAAU
RNAcentral lists this long non-coding RNA (1992 nucleotides) under Homo sapiens (human). RNAcentral describes it as "HSALNT0393939". Lineage: Eukaryota; Metazoa; Chordata; Mammalia; Primates; Hominidae. The record is from RNAcentral.